AGCUGGUCCGAGUGCAGUCGUGUUCACAACUAAUUGAUCACAACCAGUUACAGAUUCCUUUGAUCCUUCUCCAUUCCUGCUGCUUCACUUGACUAGCCUAAA
This 102-nucleotide Y RNA is filed under the name Prolemur simus (greater bamboo lemur). RNAcentral's name for it is "Y RNA (ENSPSMG00000012799.1)". It matches the Rfam family "Y RNA". From Rfam's summary of the family: Y RNAs are components of the Ro ribonucleoprotein particle (Ro RNP), in association with Ro60 and La proteins. The Y RNAs and Ro60 and La proteins are well conserved, but the function of the Ro RNP is not known. In humans the RNA component can be one of four small RNAs -- hY1, hY3, hY4 and hY5. Lineage: Eukaryota; Metazoa; Chordata; Mammalia; Primates; Lemuridae. The record is from Rfam by way of RNAcentral.